UGUCAUGCCACCUUUGAAUGGUUCCUUU
This 28-nucleotide non-coding RNA is filed under the name Homo sapiens (human). Lineage: Eukaryota; Metazoa; Chordata; Mammalia; Primates; Hominidae. The record is from RNAcentral.